Molecule: long non-coding RNA, 385 nt
Filed under: Nicotiana benthamiana
Lineage: Eukaryota; Viridiplantae; Streptophyta; Magnoliopsida; Solanales; Solanaceae
Description: long non-coding RNA (NBEN_LNC025804)
Source: RNAcentral
GCACCUGCUAGAUUCUUACCGCAGAAGCAAAAUCUGGCUUCCUAAGUGAAAAUUGCAGAAGUAGGUCGUGGUCCGUAGAAGUGGUCCCUUCCCGCGAAAGCGAAAAUGUCUAAAUAUAAAUAGUAAGUUCGAGGGUUGAGUUUCAAAGUAUGAAAUCAAUUGAGAGCUCGGGAGAGGGCGAUUUUUAGAGGAUUUUGAAGAGAAGAUUAUUGGAUUUGGGCCAUUUGGAUUCGGAUACUCGUGAAAAAGCGUGGUUCCUAGUUGAUUAUUGAGGCGGUUCGAGGUAAGUGACUUGUCUAACCUUGUGUGGGGGACCUUUUCCCUUAGGACAUGAUCUUUGAAUAUUUGAAUGCCUCGUACAUGGGGUGAUGAGCGUGUACUUGAG